This 140-nucleotide non-coding RNA is filed under the name Alteromonas sp. Nap_26. RNAcentral's name for it is "partial RNase P RNA component class A". It matches the Rfam family "Bacterial RNase P class A", at positions 213 to 367 of the family's 367-position model. Rfam says of the family: Ribonuclease P (RNase P) is a ubiquitous endoribonuclease, found in archaea, bacteria and eukarya as well as chloroplasts and mitochondria. Its best characterised activity is the generation of mature 5'-ends of tRNAs by cleaving the 5'-leader elements of precursor-tRNAs. Cellular RNase Ps are ribonucleoproteins. Lineage: Bacteria; Pseudomonadati; Pseudomonadota; Gammaproteobacteria; Alteromonadales; Alteromonadaceae. The record is from RNAcentral.
CCACCCGGAGCAAGACCAAAUAGGAUCCCUUAACGUGUGGCCCGCAUGGGGAUCGGGUAGGUUGCUUGAAUCAGUGAGUGAUUGCUGAUCUAGAGGAAUGGUUGCCCACGACAGAACCCGGCUUACGGCCAACUCCACCU